CCGAGCUACGGCGAGGGCAAACUGGUAGAAACUAAACUGCCGAGAAACAGUCCUGAUGGCGAAAGGGAGGAGUGUUCGUACCGCAAUCCGACACAGGUAGACGGCCAGAAUAUGGUAAGGCGCUCGAGAGAACCCUCGUUAAGGAACUCGGCAAAAUGGCCCCGUAACUUCGGGAGAAGGGGUGUCCUGAUACUUGUAGUUUCUUGCAAACGAAGGGUAUCGGGAUCGCAGUAAAGAGGCCCAUGUGACUGUUUAGUAAAAACACAUGUCUCUGCAAAGUCGUAGAUUCAAGACGACGUAUAGGGACUGACACCUGCCCAAUGCCGGAAGGUUAAGGGGAGAGAUUAUUCUGACUUUGUCGGGAGAAGUCUCAAACUGAAGCCCCGGUGAAUGGCGGCCGUAACUAUAGUUUGGACCACUCGCCAUAAAGCGAUGGCGGGCAAGCUGUGGUUCCGUUAACAAAUCUGGCUAUAUGCUGGGAAGUCCUGUUAGGCUAAUAGUACAUUCCGAGAGAUACGGAAUAGUAACAAUCUAUUAGAUAGGGACUAUCAGCAGGAAAGACCUGGAGGAGGUCUCCGGAUGAGAGAAGGAGUGGGGUACUAUUUAGCAGGUUUUGCCGAUGGAGAAGGAAGUUUCAAUGUUUCCUUCCGGGCAAGACAAGACUAUAAAGCUCCGUGGAAAAUCUCCCUUUGUUUCAAUAUCUCCCAAAAAGAGAAAGUUAUUCUUGCCUUAUUCAAACGCCAUCUGGGGUGUGGAAUUUUACGCAUGAGACCCGAUGGUGUUUGGUAUUACGAGGUGAAUAACUUUAAUGCUCUUUGGGAAAAAGUGAUUCCCUUCUUUAAGAAAUACAGAUUUCUCUCUGCUAAAAAGAAACGUGAUUUUUCAAAAUUCUGUCAAAUAGCGAAAAUAAUAAAAAAGGGAGAACAUCUCACCGAAAAGGGUAUCAAAAAAAUUCUUGAAAUAAGAAGAGGGAUGAAUGAGGGAGGUAAAAGGAGGUAUAGUAAUUCGGAGAUCUUAAAGAGACUUCAGGAAUCCUCAGAGACUAUACGCCAGAUCCGUCAAGAAGAUUGGCGGAAUGAGAUAGUCCGGUCUUCUGGGAAACCAGAAGUUAACAUAAACGAACGGUCCUAAGGUAGCGAAAUUCCUAGUCGGGUAAGUUCCGACCCGCACGAAUGGUGUAACAACUUGGGCGCUGUCUCAACGGGGGGCUCGGCGAAAUUGUAGUAGCGGUGAAGAUGCCGCUUACCCGCAGGUAGACGAAAAGACCCCGGAACCUUUACUGUACCCUGGUAUUGGAUUUUGGUCCGGUAUGUGUAGGAUAGGUGGGAGGCUGUGAAGUCCUGACGCUAGUUGGGAUGGAGCCGACGGUGAAAUACCACUCUUAUCGUACUAAAGUUCUAACCCUGAACCAUGAAGCUGGUCAGGGGACAAUGCCAGGCGGGCAGUUUAACUGGGGCGGUUUCCUCCUAAAGAGUAACGGAGGAGUCCAAAGGUUCCCUCAGUGCGGUCGGCAAUCGCACGUUGAGUGUAAAGGCAUAAGGGAGCUUGACUGUGAGUCCGACAGGACGAGCAGGGGAGAAAUCCGGGCUUAGUGAUCCGGCGGUGGCAAGUGGAAGCGCCGUCGCUCAACGGAUAACAGGUACUCCGGGGAUAACAGGCUUAUCGGUCCCGAGAGUUCAUAUCGACGGACCGGUUUGGCACCUCGAUGUCGGCUCACCGCAUCCUGGGGCUGGAGAAGGUCCCAAGGGUCCGGCUGUUCGCCGGUUAAAGCGGUACGCGAGCUGGGUUUAGAACGUCGUGAGACAGUUCGGUCUCUAUCUCCUGUGGGCGCAGGAUACCUGAGGGGAGUUCUCCUUAGUACGAGAGGACCAGGAGGAACGAACCUCUGGUGUACCAGUUGUUCCGUCCGGAGCAGAAGCUGGGUAGCCAUGUUCGGUCGGGAUAAACGCUGAAAGCAUCUAAGCGUGAAGCCCACCCCAAGAAGAGGUAUCCCUGAAGGCAUCCCGUAGACUACGGGCUUGAUAGGUCCCAAGUGUAAGCACCGUAAGGUGUUGAGCUUAGGGAUACUAAGGAAGCCGUUUGGCUUGACCAC
This 2092-nucleotide ribosomal RNA is filed under the name Candidatus Omnitrophota bacterium. Its description in RNAcentral is "partial 23S ribosomal RNA". It matches the Rfam family "Bacterial large subunit ribosomal RNA", at positions 1569 to 2925 of the family's 2925-position model. The record is from RNAcentral. Lineage: Bacteria; Pseudomonadati; Candidatus Omnitrophota.